Molecule: microRNA, 22 nt
Filed under: Euprymna scolopes
Lineage: Eukaryota; Metazoa; Mollusca; Cephalopoda; Sepiida; Sepiolidae
Also listed under: 2 other names
Description: Esc-Mir-12535-v1_3p (mature (guide))
Source: RNAcentral
UUCAUCAUUCACAAGGCUGCAC